UAUAAUGCAAGUCGACGAACUUCCGUUAAUUGAUUAUGACGUACUUGUACUGAUUGAGAUUUUAACACGAAGUGAGUGGCGAACGGGUGAGUAACACGUGGGUAACCUGCCCAGAAGUAGGGGAUAACACCUGGAAACAGAUGCUAAUACCGUAUAACAGAGAAAACCGCAUGGUUUUCUUUUAAAAGAUGGCUCUGCUAUCACUUCUGGAUGGACCCGCGGCGUAUUAGCUAGUUGGUGAGGUAAAGGCUCACCAAGGCAGUGAUACGUAGCCGACCUGAGAGGGUAAUCGGCCACAUUGGGACUGAGACACGGCCCAGACUCCUACGGGAGGCAGCAGUAGGGAAUCUUCCACAAUGGACGCAAGUCUGAUGGAGCAACGCCGCGUGAGUGAAGAAGGGUUUCGGCUCGUAAAGCUCUGUUGUUAAAGAAGAACGUGGGUAAGAGUAACUGUUUACCCAGUGACGGUAUUUAACCAGAAAGCCACGGCUAACUACGUGCCAGCAGCCGCGGUAAUACGUAGGUGGCAAGCGUUAUCCGGAUUUAUUGGGCGUAAAGCGAGCGCAGGCGGUCUUUUAAGUCUAA
This 585-nucleotide ribosomal RNA is filed under the name Pediococcus pentosaceus. RNAcentral's name for it is "bacterial SSU rRNA". It matches the Rfam family "Bacterial small subunit ribosomal RNA", at positions 52 to 592 of the family's 1533-position model. The record is from RNAcentral. Lineage: Bacteria; Bacillati; Bacillota; Bacilli; Lactobacillales; Lactobacillaceae.